GGGAAAUCAGCUAAUACCGCAUACGCCCUACGGGGGAAAGCGGGGGAUCUUCGGACCUCGCGCUAAUGGAUGAGCCUAAGUCGGAUUAGCUUGUUGGUGAGGUAAAGGCUCACCAAGGCGACGAUCCGUAGCUGGUCUGAGAGGACGAUCAGCCACACUGGGACUGAGACACGGCCCAG
This 179-nucleotide ribosomal RNA is filed under the name uncultured bacterium. RNAcentral's name for it is "partial 16S ribosomal RNA". It matches the Rfam family "Bacterial small subunit ribosomal RNA", at positions 151 to 334 of the family's 1533-position model. The record is from RNAcentral.